RNAcentral lists this ribosomal RNA (477 nucleotides) under uncultured bacterium. RNAcentral describes it as "partial 16S ribosomal RNA". It matches the Rfam family "Bacterial small subunit ribosomal RNA", at positions 28 to 507 of the family's 1533-position model. The record is from RNAcentral.
GAUAAACGCUGGCGGCGUGCAUAACACAUGCAAGUCGAACGAUGAAGAUUAAAAGAUUUCUUCGGAAUGAACUUAAUUGGAUUAGUGGCGGACGGGUGAGUAACGCGUGAGUAACCUGCCUUGUACAAGGGGAUAGCCGUUGGAAACGACGAAUAAUACCCUAUGACAUCAAAUAAUCGCAUGAUAAUUUGAUCAAAGAUUUAUCGGUAUAAGAUGGACUCGCGUCUGAUUAGCUAGUUGGUAGAGUAAAAGCCUACCAAGGCAACGAUCAGUAGCCGGCUUGGGAGGGUGUACGGCCACAUUGGGACUGAGACACGGCCCAGACUCCUACGGGAGGCAGCAGUGGGGAAUUUUGCACAAUGGGGGAAACCCUGAUGCAGCGACGCCGCGUGAUUUAGAAGGCCUUCGGGUUGUAAAAAUCUUUUGUAUGGGAAGAAAAUGACAGUACCAUACGAAUAAGGACCGGCUAAUUACGUG